GACGAACGCUGGCGGCGUGCUUAACACAUGCAAGUCGAACGGUGAAGGGGUCUGCUUUUGUGGGCCCUGGAUGAGUGGCGAACGGGUGAGUAACACGUGAGUAACCUGCCCCCUUCUUCUGGAUAACCGCAUGAAAGUGUGGCUAAUACGGGAUAUUCUGGGUCUGUCGCAUGAUGGGUCUGGGAAAGAUUGCGCCUUUGGGUGUUUUUGGCGGGGGAUGGGCUCGCGGCCUAUCAGCUUGUUGGUGGGGUGAUGGCCUACCAGGGCGGUGACGGGAAGCCGGGUGGGGGGGGGGGACGGUCACACUGGGACUGGGACACUGCCCAGAGUGCUACGGGAGGGAGCGGUAGGGAAGAGUGCACAAUGGGGGCAAGCCUGAUGCAGCGACGCCGGGUGAGGGAUGGAGGCGUUCGGGUUGUAAACCUUUUUCGCCAGUGAAGCAGGCCUGCUCCAUGUGGGUGGGUUGACGGUAGCUGGAUAAGAAGCGCCGGCUAACUACGUG
This 502-nucleotide ribosomal RNA is filed under the name uncultured bacterium. RNAcentral describes it as "partial 16S ribosomal RNA". It matches the Rfam family "Bacterial small subunit ribosomal RNA", at positions 28 to 507 of the family's 1533-position model. The record is from RNAcentral.